GCGGUCGUAGCUCAGUCGGUAGAGCACAACCUUGCCAAGGUUGGGGUCGCGUGUUCAAAUCACGUCGACCGCU
RNAcentral lists this transfer RNA (73 nucleotides) under Dinophyceae sp. MGD. RNAcentral's name for it is "tRNA-Gly". It matches the Rfam family "tRNA". From Rfam's summary of the family: Transfer RNA (tRNA) molecules are approximately 80 nucleotides in length. Their secondary structure includes four short double-helical elements and three loops (D, anti-codon, and T loops). Further hydrogen bonds mediate the characteristic L-shaped molecular structure. tRNAs have two regions of fundamental functional importance: the anti-codon, which is responsible for specific mRNA codon recognition, and the 3' end, to which the tRNAs corresponding amino acid is attached (by aminoacyl-tRNA synthetases). tRNAs cope with the degeneracy of the genetic code in two manners: having more than one tRNA (with a specific anti-codon) for a particular amino acid; and 'wobble' base-pairing, i.e. permitting non-standard base-pairing at the 3rd anti-codon position. The record is from RNAcentral. Lineage: Eukaryota; Dinophyceae.